Long non-coding RNA from Brassica napus (rape), 4369 nucleotides. RefSeq lists it as uncharacterized. The transcript has 2 exons. Lineage: Eukaryota; Viridiplantae; Streptophyta; Magnoliopsida; Brassicales; Brassicaceae. The record is from RefSeq and is a predicted model, not a curated record.
CUCUUAUAUAUUUAUAUUUAACAAAGAAAAAAGUUAUAUGUACCUUAUUGCUAACAAGACCACUUGAAGGAGAAAUAAGACUGUCUCUAAUACGAGUAUGUUGUAUACCAGAGACUUCGUCAACUCUCUGAAUGAUGUUCCAUUCAGUCUUCGGGUGUGUUUCUGUUCCUCUCUAGAAAAAUAAACAUGUAUAUAUUACCUUUAUAAGACAUUAUAAAAUAAAACCUUAUUUACAAAGUUUUAAUAAGUACGUCACAACCAAUAAUAGCUCAAUAAGAGCCAAUAUUGCCAAAAGUAACGAUAUUAUUGUAGAACUCCAUAAAGUCUAAUUUCUAAAACAAUUUAUAGAACCUUAUAAUUAUGAAUGUUAAGGUAAGAGUUUUGAAAAGUAUCUCAAAUACAUUACUACUUCCAGCAAUAGACGAAUCAUGAGUACUGGAAAUUUCAUCUUGUGUCUGCAUCAUGUUUGACAUAAUCAAUGGUGAUUUUUGUGUUCCUCUCUGAAACAUAAAAACAUAAAGCUAGUAAUGAAUUUUGUACCUUGUAUUUUAUAAGGUUCUUAUAAACAUUAAAUAUGACAUAACUACCUGACAUAAAUUUCUACUACCAACCAUAGGCAAAUCAUUAGUAAUUAACACUUCAUCCUGUGUCUGAACCAUAUUUGACACAAUCAUUGGUUAUAUUUGUGUUUUCCCUCUGAAACAUAAAAAGAUAAAGAUAAAUAUAGAAUCAUUUAUAAAGUUUUUAUAAGGCCUUAUAAAUAUAAGAGUUGUAAUAAAUACUUCAAGCGGAUUACUAUUUCCAGCAAUAGGCAAAUCAUGAUUAAUUAAAGCUUCACCCCGUGACUGGAUCAUAUUUGACACAAUCAUUGGUGAUAAUUGAGUUCUUCUCUGAAACAUUAAAAAAAAAAACAUAAAAGCUAAUAGUUAAAAUAUAUGUGGUAAUGAUCCUCCAAAAUGCACAAUUAUUAUUAUAAGGUCUUAUAAAUGUAAAAGUUGUAAUAGAUACUGAUAUGGCAUACUUCCUCAAGCAAUGAGCAAAUCAUUAGUACUACAAACUACCUUAUAAAAUAACUGAUAACUCUAAUAAACAAACAAGUUAGCAAAAUAGUUUCAUGCAGUUACCUUAAUUAAUGGUUACACAUAGAUGAAUGUCUUCAUUCUCUUUAAGUUUGUUUAGAUAAGAUGUUACUUGACGAUCAUUCCUAAUAAAUGCUGCAUGAAGCUCUUUUGUACCAAAGUUUAAUUUUGAAGGUGAGACAUAGCUAAAAUUUACACUGUUUCUGUUGCCAUCAAUUCCAAAGUCUUCUAAAACAGCCACAAUCAAAUCAUUGUAGCUGAUAUCUUCAUGAAUCAUACUAAGAGAGGAUCCUCGUUGAUCAUCCACUAUGAAAUCCCAGUGAAUUCCAUUUAUUAGUUUCCAUUCUCCACAUAUAGAACAUAUUUCGAUCACCGUAACCUGAUUAUAAGAACAUGGGGAUUAGAGAAGGAAUGAUCAACAAGAUAUAUCAAAAAGAAAAAUACAUAACACUAUGUUCCUCAUAGAUAAAAAUUUAUAAGGUUUUAUAAAUCUGAGAUUUGAAAACUUCAUGAGAAAAACUUCGUCUAUUUCCCAGAAACCGAUCGAUUUUGAGAAACCAAGCAAAAAUUACAGAAAAGAGACGAAAAUCACUAUCUAUUAUCCUCUCACCUUUGUUACGCGUUCGUGAAGAGAGAUUGUUCUAUUCGUUUGAGUUUGUAGUCUUCGCCAAAUCUCGUCGGACGUCAACGUCGUUUGAAUAAUCAAAUCUCGCCGGGGAAGUCGCCGGAAUCGUCGAAUCUCUCACCGGAUUCGUCGAAUCUCUCGCCGGAAUCGUCGAAUCUCUCGCCGGAAUCGUCGAAUCUCUCGCCGGAAUCGUCGAAUCUCUCGCCGGAAUCGUCGAAUCUCUCGCCGGAAUUGCCGAAUCUCUCGCCGGAUCGAAUCUCUCUCGCCGGAAUCGUCCAUCAAUUGGGGGAAUUUGAAUUUCAAAAUUCUUAUGUUUGAUUAAAUAAGGGUAUAAUGGUACUUUAGCCAUUAAAAUUUUAAUGGUAAAGUUGAAAAGUGGUAUUAGGAAAGUACUAUUAGUGGCAGUUCCCCAUUUAUAUGUGACUCAUCUACUAUAUAUUUACAACUCUCUCUUUCUAACCUACGAACUUCACACUACUCACUAUAUCUUCUGUAAUUAAUUACAAAGACCAUAAAAUAUUAAAGUAGUCCAAAUAAAUUUAUAACGUGAAUACGAAAUAAAGAAUAGUAUUCAUAAUUUUAAGAUAUUUUCAUAACUAGACUAUUAAUUAAUUCAUGAGUUUAAACUUUGGGCAACAAAAAAAUUUUUUUCUAAAAGAAAAACCAACAAAUCUUAAAUAUUAACUAGCAUGAUAUCAGUUUCUUCAUAUUUUGAAAACGUCUCAUUUAGAUAAAAAAAUUGGGUCAUGUUUGAGUCAUACCCUCCAAACUCAAGGUGGGUUCUAUUUUUAAUCGAAUUAACCAAAGUACCCAAUUUAGUUCAGGUAUUUUAUAUCUAAACUAUCCAAACUUACCCCACAAUAACUAAAACCUAAAAAACCUUAGUAGAUAUAGUUUGAAUCGAUUAUUUUUUUAUUCGAGAGUAACCAUGGAUACAAUCUUAUUUGAAUAUAUUGUAUACAAAGCAUCCAUUUCUAAUUUUCUAUCCAUAAAUAUCUAAAAUAACUUAUAUGUUUGAUUUAUGAUUUUAAUAUUAGGUAUUAAUAUUAUUAUAAAUAUAAUUAUAACUAAUGUAUAUAUGUAUAAUAUAUAUGUUCAUAUAUGUACAUAUACUCAUCAGUUUUCGAUACGAGUCAAGUUUGAUAUCGAUUAUUGGUGUUUUGAUAAAUAGACCCGUUUAGAUAUUUAGGCCGGAUACAACCAAGUUCGGUAUCCUAAUUUUUGGUCGAUUUGGGGUCGGUUUUUUGGUGUAGAUAUUAUGUCCAAACCCUAUAUUAGGUUAUCAAAAAUUAAAACACAUAAUUUAUAAUUAAUAAUCCUUUUUGGAAUCGAACAUUUAGAAGAAAAAAAUUUCACGCUUUAAAAGCGGGUCAAAAUCAAAUUACAUGUUAAAUUUGAUGUGCCUUUUUUUCGCCAAACGUUUCAUUAUUAUAUGAAAAGAACCCAAAUAGAUUUUACAACAUUGGUACAUGCUUUUAAUUGAGGCCCAAUAACAAAGAAAUACAUAUUAAAUUAAAAAAACGGAAUACGACCUUUAAUGACUCUCUCUCUUCCCUCUUAAAGAGAGAAAAUUCUCGGGAAUUUCUUUUUCCCUCUUACCACACUAUUCAUCUUCAGAGGGAAAAAAAAUUGUUAGAGGGAGAAAGAACCGUGGUUUUUAGUUUGUAUAAUAGUUUCGAUCGAUGAGAUUGAUCUUUCUUUCCUCAUAUCGGAUUUCAUGUUCGCUGAUUUGUGGUUUCGUUUAGGCGACUUUUGUGGUGUUAUCAACUCAAAACCAAAGAUUUUCUUCAUGGAUUUGUUGUGUUCUUUGAUUCUGGGUUGAGUUCAAUAAAUUUUGCUCUCAUCCUUCUGUUUUAAUGUCUUUUAUCCGUUUAAUCAAGAGAAUUGAUUUCUCUUAUUGUUAGUAAAGCUCGGUUCUUGAUUAUGAUUUGGAAUCAAUCUUCGUUUUAUAUCAAGCGAAGUAUGCAAGAUGAUCAAAGAUCGGAGGUGUGGAUUAUGCUUUGAAGAUUCAGUGCAGAGCUUAGAAGAGUUGGAGGUGCCCAGGGGUUAGUGUUCCAGCAGGGUUCUGUUUUCGUUUCACUUCUUAAGCUUUUUAUUUGGAUCAAUAUCUACAGAUUGGAGAUACAGUUCUUGUUGGUUGGCAAUGAUUGAAGCUUUGAAGAGCAAGCAAGCAGCUUCAAACGAAUCGGGAGAUGGAGACUGGUGGUUGUUCCGGCAGAGACUUCCGACAUCUUGAUUCACGAAAUAGCGGGCCCACGUGCAAGCACGUGUCCUACAUACCUUAUAAUCAAGGACGAGGUGGUGUUUUUUUUCUGACGAUAAUGGCGAGUUCAGGGAGACGCUUUGAGUUGAAUUGGUUGAGAGAUAAGCAUGUGGGACUUGGAGUUAGGUCAAGGUGAUCGCGAUUAUAGCGGAGGAUGGUGUUGUAGGGUUCUGAAUCCUGAAGAAAGAGGCGCUUUCAUCAAUUUUCGUACUUAAAAUUGGUUUGUGUUAUAUCUAUUGAUAUUUCCAAUUAAAUCUAUUCAAUCUUCUCUAUUUUUGAUCACCUCUUUUCCUUUUUUGUUUUGAACAUGAAACUCGGUUGGAGAUUCAUGUCGGAGAAGGGAUAAAGUAAACAUGUAAAUAGCAAAGGGGUUUGUUCUAAAAUUUAACUCGCAGCUUCUUA